UAUACAAUAGCCACACUUAUAUAUCUAAACUUUUAAUCAUCUCGUAAGGGUUCCCACCUCUUACCAUACCUGUUCUUGGUUUCAAUUUGAGAAGAUCGACUUUGUGAAUCCCUUUUAUCUAUGAGAUUAGCGUUAGUUCUUAAACGUGCAUGUGUAAUUUUCUGUUCCCUCCGUACCGGAGAUGAUCUAGGUUAAUUUCUGAAUUGUUCAAUUAGGAGAGUUUUAGAUCUGCAGAUUUGAGUUCAAGUGAAGCAGAUUUGAGGCUUGGUUCUAAUUGCAGGCCACGGGGAUUGGAAUUUCCUAUGAUCCCUCCUCAUAUUACGACCGGAAAAGCCUGGUGCAAGACGUUGCUGAUUGGUAUAGAACCGGAGCUGCAACGAACAACUGGAAUGAGUGACCAAAGCUAUUAUUACUGGUGUCGAAAUGACUGGAAUGAGUGACAGAGUUUGUGUUGACCUUUGCAGCCUCAUGAAACCUGGUUGGAUCUUUUGCUAGAGGAUUAUUUCUUGUUCACUCACAGUCAAACUACAUUGCUACCAGGCCUUUCGCAGUUAACACUUCCCGUCCAUGCCUAUAUGGCGAUUUCAGGAGAACCUUCAGUCGCCGAAAUUUGUCUAGUAGUGGUAUGCGAGGUAGCUCAGGCAGCUACUUAUGUUGUCGGCGAUGACAAUGGCUGGACGUUUAACUAUCUAUGACAAGUUU
This 702-nucleotide long non-coding RNA is filed under the name Helianthus annuus (common sunflower). Lineage: Eukaryota; Viridiplantae; Streptophyta; Magnoliopsida; Asterales; Asteraceae. The record is from RNAcentral.